GGCUCCCUGGCGCAACGGUAGCGCGUUCGACUCCAGAUCGAAAGGUUAUCCGUUCAAAUCGGGUGGGGGUCA
Staphylotrichum tortipilum is the source of this 72-nucleotide non-coding RNA. NCBI's taxonomy places the organism in Eukaryota, Fungi, Ascomycota, Sordariomycetes, Sordariales, Chaetomiaceae. The record is from the annotation of a GenBank genome assembly.